UGAACGCUGGCGGCAUGCCUUACACAUGCAAGUCGAGCGGCAGCGCGGGGGCAACCCUGGCGGCGAGCGACGAACGGGUGAGUAAUACAUCGGAACGUGUCCAGUAGCGGGGGAUAACCUGUCGAAAGAUAGGCUAAUACCGCAUACGACCUACGGGUGAAAGCGGGGGACCGCAAGGCCUCGCACUAUUGGAGCGGCCGAUGUCGGAUUAGCUAGUUGGCGGGGUAACGGCCCACCAAGGCGACGAUCCGUAGCUGGUCUGAGAGGACGACCAGCCACACUGGAACUGAGACACGGUCCAGACUCCUACGGGAGGCAGCAGUGGGGAAUAUUGCACAAUGGGCGAAAGCCUGAUGCAGCAACGCCGCGUGAGGGAUGACGGCCUUCGGGUUGUAAACCUCUUUCAGCAGGGACGAAGCCUUCGGGUGACUGUACCUGCAAAAGAAGGACCGGCCAACUACGUGCCAGCAGCCGCGGUAAUACGUAGGGUCUGAGCGUUGUCCGGAAUUAUUGGGCGUAAAGAGCUCGUAGGCGGCCUUUCGCGUCUGCUGUGAAAACCCGGAGCUUAACUCCGGGCCUGCAGCGGAUACGGGAAGGCUAGAGUUCGGUAGGGGAGACUGGAAUUCCUGGUGUAGCGGUGAAAUGCGCAGAUAUCAGGAGGAACACCGGUGGCGAAGGCGGGUCUCUGGGCCGAUACUGACGCUGAGGAGCGAAAGCAUGGGGAGCGAACAGGAUUAGAUACCCUGGUAGUCCAUGCCGUAAACGUUGGGCGCUAGGUGUGGGUUUCCUUCCACGGAAUCCGUGCCGCAGCUAACGCAUUAAGCGCCCCGCCUGGGGAGUACGGCCGCAAGGCUAAAACUCAAAGGAAUUGACGGGGGCCCGCACAAGCGGCGGAGCAUGCGGAUUAAUUCGAUGCGACGCGAAGAACCUUACCUGGGCUUGACAUACACGGAAAUCCAGCAGAGAUGUUGGGUCCGUAAGGGCCGUGUACAGGUGGUGCAUGGCUGUCGUCAGCUCGUGUCGUGAGAUGUUGGGUUAAGUCCCGCAACGAGCGCAACCCUCGUUCCAUGUUGCCAGCACGUAAUGGUGGGGACUCAUGGGAGACUGCCGGGGUCAACUCGGAGGAAGGUGGGGAUGACGUCAAGUCAUCAUGCCCCUUAUGUCCAGGGCUUCACGCAUGCUACAAUGGCCGGUACAAAGGGCUGCGAAGUCGCAAGGCGGAGCGAAUCCCAAAAAGCCGGUCUCAGUUCGGAUCGGGGUCUGCAACUCGACCCCGUGAAGUUGGAGUCGCUAGUAAUCGCAGAUCAGCAACGCUGCGGUGAAUACGUUCCCGGGCCUUGUACACACCGCCCGUCACGUCAUGAAAGUCGGUAACACCCGAAGCCGGUGGCCCAACCCUUGUGGAGGGAGCUGUCGAAGGUGGGACUGGCGAUUAGGACGAAGUCGUAACAAGGUAAC
RNAcentral lists this ribosomal RNA (1458 nucleotides) under uncultured bacterium. Its description in RNAcentral is "bacterial SSU rRNA". It matches the Rfam family "Bacterial small subunit ribosomal RNA". The record is from RNAcentral.